RNAcentral lists this ribosomal RNA (764 nucleotides) under uncultured Staphylococcus sp. Its description in RNAcentral is "bacterial SSU rRNA". It matches the Rfam family "Bacterial small subunit ribosomal RNA", at positions 36 to 774 of the family's 1533-position model. Lineage: Bacteria; Bacillati; Bacillota; Bacilli; Caryophanales; Staphylococcaceae. The record is from RNAcentral.
CUGGCGGCGUGCCUAAUACAUGCAAGUCGAGCGAACAGAUAAGGAGCUUGCUCCGUUUGACUGUUAGCAGGCGGACGGGAUGAGUAACACUGUGGGUAACCUACGCUAUAAGAACUGGGAUAACAUUCGGGAAACCGGGAGCUAAUACCGGAUAACAUUUGGAACCGCAUGGUUCUAAAGUGAAAGAUGGUUUUGCUAUCACUUAUAGAUGGACCCGCGCCGUAUUAGCUAGUUGGUAAGGUAACGGCUUACCAAGGCAACGAUACGUAGCCGACCUGAGAGGGUGAUCGGCCACACUGGAACUGAGACACGGUCCAGACUCCUACGGGAGGCAGCAGUAGGGAAUCUUCCGCAAUGGGCGAAAGCCUGACGGAGCAACGCCGCGUGAGUGAUGAAGGUCUUCGGAUCGUAAAACUCUGUUGUUAGGGAAGAACACAUUUGUUAGUAACUGUACACGUCUUGACGGUACCUAACCAGAAAGCCACGGCUAACUACGUGCCAGCAGCCGCGUAAUACGUAGGUGGCAAGCGUUAUCCGGAAUUAUUGGGCGUAAAGCGCGCGUAGGCGGUUUCUUAAGUCUGAUGUGAAAGCCCACGGCUCAACCGUGGAGGGUCAUUGGAAACUGGGAAACUUGAGUGCAGAAGAGGAAAGUGGAAUUCCAUGUGUAGCGGUGAAAUGCGCAGAGAUAUGGAGGAACACCAGUGGCGAAGGCGACUUUCUGGUCUGUAACUGACGCUGAUGUGCGAAAGCAUGGGUAGCAAACA